Ochlerotatus camptorhynchus is the source of this 928-nucleotide long non-coding RNA. RefSeq lists it as uncharacterized. The record is from RefSeq and is a predicted model, not a curated record. NCBI's taxonomy places the organism in Eukaryota, Metazoa, Arthropoda, Insecta, Diptera, Culicidae. The transcript is spliced from 3 exons.
UGCUUAUAUAUAGGUGUUCUAAUGUGUCAAACUCAAGAUUCAGCCAUGUUUGAUUUAGCACUUGAAGUCGAAUGAGUUUGUUUAUAAACAAACUAUGAGUAGCUGGAGUUAUUUUUUCUCUUUGAAUGUGAAAUGCAGAAAGCAUUCUGGAGUAAAAGUAAAAACACGGACAGUAAUAUCGCCUAUCAAACAAGCUCCUCAGCCGAACUAUCAAAACCGUAAGUGCGUGAGAAGCCACAGCAGGAACUAAUGUCGUGCAUUAUGUUGAGCGAGCUAUGUUCUGGAUGCAUUACGAUCGGGUCAGAUCCCUGACGGUAGCCGGUAACGGACAGUAACAAUCUUUAAUUGAUGGAGUUUAGCCGAAUUGAAGGUUAGCACUAGAUUCAAUCGAAAUUCGUGAUCCAGCACAACUAUAAACAAUGCACUCUUCACGAGGUUCAAUUACUUAACGGAGGUUCCAAUUAGGGAAAAUUAGUGAUUAGCAUAAGAUUGCUCGAAUAUUUUACGUUUAGUAUUGUUGGUGUUUCCAGUGUAAUAAUAUACCAAUAAAAUAUAUUCAGAUAGUCGUUGCCCAUGCAGCGGAAGUGAAAUCAAUAAAAAGUGUUUUGGAAGUUUGGAUCACGGAGUAAUUUAAGGAUCUGUUUGGUAAAAGGAAACAAACAUGAGAUCUUCAAUUAUCGGCAAUCAGUAAUCAGUAUCAGUUUGGUGAUGUCAACUCUAAAUGGAAUUUUAAAACGGUUGAAAUGAAGAAUUUGUAUUAUACUUUAUAGUUUUACAGUAGAAAUAGAUUUUACUGUCAAAAUAGAUUUACCAAUGAUUGGCUUAUUUAGAGCUUAAUUUCAUGUACUUUUUAACCAGAUGCCUUUUGUUUUCGGUCCACUUUCGUUGAAGAGGUUGACGAUAUGAAUGUUGGCUGGAUCGUGUUGGC